AUGGAACACUUCCUUGACGCCACAAGCCCGGCGCCCCCUGCUACCAUCACCGUCACUAAUGACGGGAAGGAGGAGCAGGUCUUCAACUACGCCCGGUCGAUCGGGUACGCCCAGCAGCAACAAGUACAAGGAUACCUUAUGGGAUCUCUGUCACGUGAGGUUCUUGCGCAGGUCGCUACUCUUCAGACGCCGGCCGAGGUGUGGAGUGCCAUCCACGCCUCUUUUGCUGCCCAGACGCAAGCUCAGAUCGUCAACACCCGCAUCGCCCUCGCCAACCUGCACAAAGGAAACUUGGGCAUGUCCGAGUACCUUGCGAAGAUCAAGGCUUUUGCUGAUGAGAUCGCUUGCACCGGUGAUCCUCUCUCUGAAGGGGAGAUAACCUCCUACGUGCUCAAAGGGCUGGACAUCGAUUACAAUCCGGUGAUUUCAGCCCUGGCUGCACGCGUUGAGCCGGUGACCGUCCAAGAACUCUACAAUUAG
RNAcentral lists this ribosomal RNA (480 nucleotides) under Triticum aestivum (bread wheat). Its description in RNAcentral is "partial small subunit ribosomal RNA". Lineage: Eukaryota; Viridiplantae; Streptophyta; Magnoliopsida; Poales; Poaceae. The record is from RNAcentral.